CGCCGGUGCCUCUCCCUCCACACCUCCCGGCAAACUGAGGGAGCCGGCUCCGGCCUGUGCCAGCCCAGAGACGGGCUCCCACAGUGCAGCGGGGGGCUGGAGGGCCCCUCAAACACGGCCAGAGUGGGUGCCAAGGCCGAGGAGGCGCCGAGAGCGAGCCAGGGCUACGAGGCUGCCAGCACGCUGUCACCUCUCAGUAGGAGCACAAACCCUAUUGUGAACUACGAGUGUGAAGAGUCUAGGUUAUCUGCUCCUUAUGAGACUCGAAUGCCUGAUGAUCUGUCAUUGUCUCUCAUCACGCCCAGAUGGGACCAUCUGGUUGAAGGAAAACAAGCUCAGGGCUUCCACUGAUACUACAUUAUGGUCCUGUUGGUUGUCCCACAGAAAGCCAAUUAUUGAGAGAAUGAGUAUUGCCAGAGAAGAAGGCUUUAUUCGGGUGCUCCAGUUGAGAAGAUGGGAGGAAAUUCAGCAUAUUUUGAACACUGGGAAGAAAGAGUCCUUAAACUUACUGUUGAACAAAAAGAGCAAUCCGCAACAUGAAAACCAA
RNAcentral lists this long non-coding RNA (547 nucleotides) under Homo sapiens (human). RNAcentral describes it as "HSALNT0202599". The record is from RNAcentral. Lineage: Eukaryota; Metazoa; Chordata; Mammalia; Primates; Hominidae.